UGGGGAAUUUUGGACAAUGGGGGAAACCCUGAUCCAGCCAUCCCGCGUGUGCGAUGAAGGCCUUCGGGUUGUAAAGCACUUUUGGCAGGAAAGAAACGUCAUGGGUUAAUACCCCGUGAAACUGACGGUACCUGCAGAAUAAGCACCGGCUAACUACGUGCCAGCAGCCGCGGUAAUACGUAGGGUGCAAGCGUUAAUCGGAAUUACUGGGCGUAAAGCGUGCGCAGGCGGUUCGGAAAGAAAGAUGUGAAAUCCCAGAGCUCAACUUUGGAACUGCAUUUUUAACUACCGGGCUAGAGUGUGUCAGAGGGAGGUGGAAUUCCGCGUGUAGCAGUGAAAUGCGUAGAUAUGCGGAGGAACACCGAUGGAGAAGGCAGCCUCCUGGGAUAACACUGAAGCUCAUGAACGAAAGCGUGGGGAGCAAACAGG
Molecule: ribosomal RNA, 429 nt
Filed under: Acidobacteriota bacterium
Lineage: Bacteria; Pseudomonadati; Acidobacteriota
Description: Acidobacteria bacterium partial 16S ribosomal RNA
Rfam family: Bacterial small subunit ribosomal RNA
Source: RNAcentral